CACCAGGGACCGUAAAGGGGAGAAGAGCGGAUAAUGGGGGAAAGGAGGGACAUGGAGCAUCACCAGACCUGGUCGAGAUGAGAGGUACAAGGGGGUAAAGUGGGGGUGGGGUGGAGGGCGCUCCAAACUCUCCCUGACAACGAAGGAAGGGCUCACAGACAUACCACUGCUGCUACUGGAAGGAGGCUGGGAGUGGUUAAAGAGGAGUAAGGGGUGGGAGAUCCUCAAACAUUCUCCUAGUGGGUCGGACAUUGAUCCAGAAUAAGAAAAGAGAGGAGUGAGCCCCGUCUUCAUGCACUCCCCAUUGCUGAGUCCGCCUCCACCGCCCCUCGGACUUUGGCCAUUGGCUCCGCUGGACUCGGCCCUCCAUUCUUAUUGGAUCAGGGUCACGCCUGUCAAGGCAGGACCCGCGGAAUGUGGGUCGUGUUCCGGAUUAGGAGGGGCUGCCUGAAACGUCAGGGUCUAGGGCAAAUUCGCACGUCCGGGCUCGCGCAGGCGCAGUUGGGAAGAGACCUGCGUGCCCUGGGCUUUAACCCCAAUCGUGCCAUGAUGGAAUAAAGCAGAGCUAUUUUUGUGGGGAGGGGAGGGUCACUAGGGGCUAACUUUAGGAGUUUCCGAAUCUGAACGGGGAAUCCUCAAGGGCCCUUUUUCACUCCAGUGACCCUGUGCCCAACUACUCAUUUGGGACUUUCCUGUGUCUCAGUUUUACCGUCUUUGAAAUGGGUUGGAAUCAGAAAAAAAAAUCUCUGCAGCGUUUUCCGGUUCUAGGAGACUGUAAUCAUAACCUUUGAUAAGAGUGGGUCUCUGGUGUGGCCAGGGCAGGGGGGUCUGGCCCUAGGAGUGAAGGCCUGCUUGCUGUUUGGGGAGGCUUCCUUUAGGAAUGGAGUUGAUAAGGAUUUUCAAAGACUAAUCAGGGAUGGUCAGGUGAAGAGGGGAGGGAAGUGCGAACCUGAGAUGAGGCAUAACUGCAGGGAAGCGUGUGUACGGUAAACACAAAGUCUUUUUUUAAAGUUUACUUUUCCCUGGUGUCACAAGUGAAAGAGACUCGCCAUCCUCCUUUUUCUUAUUUUCUUUAGAAAACUCGUAAAAUUUUUCUCUGUCCCUUGGAGAGGUCUGCGACUCUUUAAAAAAGCUAAAUAGGCUUUCUGCCAGUUUUACAGUUCAGGAAUGCUGUUCUUAAGGUCCUGGGAGCCAGGUCUUUGAAAUGCAAAGGUAAACAGCGAUUGGGCCUUAUCUCCACCUGCGUAGGAAUUUGACCUGGGCGGCUGGCUCCAAGUCAUCACCUGCUUGUCAAAGAGAUAUGCGUUUUAUUUUUCCUUUGCCUAAAGGCAGAUGGCUACCCCAAUUACCAGGUGAAUUUGAGAGGAACUGUGUGUAGCGAGUGGUGCUGUCAAGUUCUGAAGACAAGUUAUCAUCUAUCUUUAAGACCAUGUAGGUCAUGGGUUGUAUCUGCCUGACUCUAUGAAAGGAGGAGAUUUCUUUCUCGGAAAUCUCUUUAGUGAAUUGCUUGUGAUGCCCCUCACGGUCUGAUUUAAUGCUUAUUCGAUAAUAAACCUAUUCCGCUCUUCGCUACCUUUGUGGAGAGGAUUUGCUGGGUUGGCAUGCGAUUUAUUUGUAAUGAUUUCCCCAACAGUAUGAACCGCCUGUUGUGUUUGAAGUGCAUACCUUCUNNNNNNNNNNNNNNNNNNCUCUGCAACGCAAUGGGAAAAGAUCAAAGAAAGGGCAUUAGGUGAGGGGGCCUCAACACACUUCAACUUGUAUUUAUUGAGGGUGUUCUCUGUCUAUAAAGAGAAAGACAAAAGUACAGCUCAAUGGGCUGUCAUAUUAACCUCCAUUUCCCAUGGCCCCUUGUCGGAUCCUCACCAUUCGAUGGCUGAAAUGUUAAAAACUGACAGGACCACCUAUUGAUGAGAAUGUGGAGCAACUUAAAUCUUCACCUGUUGCUCUUGGGAGUAUAGAAUGGUACAUUCACAUUGGAAACAGUUUGGCAGCUUCAUAGAAAAUAAAACAUAGGCGUCCCCAUUGUGGCUCAGCGGUAACGAACCCAACGAGGAUCCAUGAGAAUGCCG
This 2069-nucleotide long non-coding RNA is filed under the name Sus scrofa (pig). Its description in RNAcentral is "lncRNA (ENSSSCG00005043659.1)". Lineage: Eukaryota; Metazoa; Chordata; Mammalia; Artiodactyla; Suidae. The record is from RNAcentral.